This 602-nucleotide ribosomal RNA is filed under the name uncultured bacterium. Its description in RNAcentral is "bacterial SSU rRNA". It matches the Rfam family "Bacterial small subunit ribosomal RNA", at positions 214 to 809 of the family's 1533-position model. The record is from RNAcentral.
ACUGGUAGAGGAUGGACUUAUGGCGCAUUAGCUGGUUGGUGAGGUAGCGGCUCACCAAGGCGACGAUGCGUAGCCGACCUGAGAGGGUGACCGGCCACACUGGGACUGAGACACGGCCCAGACUCCUACGGGAGGCAGCAGUAGGGAAUUUUCGGCAAUGGGGGGAACCCUGACCGAGCAACGCCGCGUGAAGGAAGAAGGAAUUCGUUCUGUAAACUUCUGUUAUAAAGGAAGAACGGCGGAUAUAGGGAAUGAUAUCCGAGUGACGGUACUUUAUGAGAAAGCCACGGCUAACUACGUGCCAGCAGCCGCGGUAAUACGUAGGUGGCGAGCGUUAUCCGGAAUUAUUGGGCGUAAAGAGGGAGCAGGCGGCGGCAGAGGUCUGUGGUGAAAGACUGAAGCUUAACUUCAGUAAGCCAUAGAAACCGGGCUGCUAGAGUGCAGGAGAGGAUCGUGGAAUUCCAUGUGUAGCGGUGAAAUGCGUAGAUAUAUGGAGGAACACCAGUGGCGAAGGCGACGGUCUGGCCUGUAACUGACGCUCAUUCCCGAAAGCGUGGGGAGCAAAUAGGAUUAGAUACCCUAGUAGUCCACGCCGUAAACGA